ACUGCUAUUACUAUUCACAAAUUAUUAUUACUAUUACUGUUGCUAUUGACAUUAUUAUAUAAUAAAAAAAAAAAAAAAAAAACAAUGAAUUCGAUGAGCUAGAAAUAAGAACGAACUGAAAAUCAAACGAAUAUGAACCAAAAGUUAUACCGAGAAUAAAUUAUUCCCAAUGCCUUUGAACACCCCUCCUUCACCUAUCCCACAACGUUACACAUAACCGCCACAGUUGACUACGACUGUCGGGAAUAAAUCCUAUACCAGGAAGGAGGAACCCCUUAAAAGGGACUGUCAGCGACUGAAUCGCUCUCUAUUAGGUGAACGCCUUGAACCUAAAAAGUGGUGGUUUUUUUAAUCUGUCGAUUCCUUUUUUCCUUAAAAGUAGUGAACGCCUGUGAACGCGUGUUUCAAUUUGCCCGGUAGUGCUACGAAGAGUGUCCUGGAGGAUUUCGUUCAUCCUGUGCUUCCUGCAUCGGAUUCGUCCGGUAGAAGAAGAACGGUAGAAGAAGAAGUGCAAGGAACCGGCGGAUCUUGGAGAGUGAGUGCUAUAAUCUCGGAAGACUUAAAGCCCCGGUGCGCCUUCCAUCCGACAGAGGGACGAUUACCACCAUCCCGUUCGACUUCAGAGGAGCCGUUUUCGCCACUCCACUGGCGGAGCAUAGAAGGAUCCACCGUGAUCGCCCACGCCGGUCCAGGUUUGAAGAGGAUCGAGAUGAUGCGUCGAAGGUUAUGCCACGGGACCCGCCCGCUUCGCGACACGAUGCCACCCGGUGCAAUCCAGCACGGACAACAAUGAAGCUAUUAUUCUUCAGAGGUAGUAAACAAAUCGUGCUACCAUCAAAUUCAACCAAAAACUUUUUUUUCAAGUGGGCAGAAAUGCACCGGACCAAGUGGCCAGAAAUGUACCGAAGACUGCUAUUGCUAAUUGAUGUUAUGAUUUGGAUUCAAAUGUGGCACCGCAAACUUCCGGUAGGAGAGCAUAGCAAGCAUACGGAAAGACGGAAUUACCUCAAAAUAAAUCCAAAAAUGUGUACGGGAGGAAGAA
Molecule: long non-coding RNA, 1042 nt
Organism: Armigeres subalbatus
Lineage: Eukaryota; Metazoa; Arthropoda; Insecta; Diptera; Culicidae
Exons: 3
Source: RefSeq, a predicted model, not a curated record